RNAcentral lists this small RNA (135 nucleotides) under Desulforamulus ruminis. Its description in RNAcentral is "Desulfotomaculum ruminis c-di-AMP sequence". It matches the Rfam family "c-di-AMP riboswitch aptamer (ydaO/yuaA leader)". From Rfam's summary of the family: This family represents a conserved RNA structure found upstream of the ydaO and yuaA genes in Bacillus subtilis and related genes in other bacteria. The ydaO/yuaA element is thought to act as a genetic "off" switch for the ydaO and yuaA genes in its native state. Lineage: Bacteria; Bacillati; Bacillota; Clostridia; Eubacteriales; Peptococcaceae. RNAcentral also lists the same sequence under 1 other name. The record is from RNAcentral.
AUAAAAUGGGCGCCUAAUUUCUAUUUUGAGGAAACGGGGGAACCGUUAUUUUGGGGGUGAACUACCUGUUGGUAGCGGGCUAUCUUUCGGUCCGAACCCGUCAGCUAACCCCGUAGGAGUAGAAAGUGGGGGAAA